Non-coding RNA from Acanthosepion pharaonis, 112 nucleotides. Lineage: Eukaryota; Metazoa; Mollusca; Cephalopoda; Sepiida; Sepiidae. The record is from the annotation of a GenBank genome assembly.
AUGGCCAGAUCAUGUUGAAACACCAGUUUUCAUUCGAUCACUGAAGUUAAGCAACAUGGAGCCUGGUCAGUAUCCAAAUUGGUGAUGGCUGGGGAAUACCAGGUGCUGUAAG